Long non-coding RNA from Fukomys damarensis (Damara mole-rat), 3411 nucleotides. RefSeq lists it as uncharacterized. Lineage: Eukaryota; Metazoa; Chordata; Mammalia; Rodentia; Bathyergidae. The record is from RefSeq and is a predicted model, not a curated record. The transcript has 3 exons.
UCUCUGAUCUCCUGUUGGGGGGGUCAGUCGGUGGCAAGGUCAAGGGGUCUGUGUGUGACUUGAGAUCAGGGGUCAGCCGACCCGAAUUGGGGUUCAGCCAGUCUGUGGCAGAGUUUGAGGAUAAUUGUGGGUAGAAGUUGGCAGUAGUCGCUCUGUGGUCCGGCUGAAAUGGGCAGGGACAGUGGGCAGUCAGAAUCGGGGUAAGUAGGUCACCUUGACAUCAGGAUUUGCGGAUUGCCUCUGACAAGCCAGACAAAGAGGGGCAGUUCUCUGUAGCCCACAGAGAUCGAGUUUACAGCCUCCCCUGGCCAUUCUGUGCCGCUGAUACCCAAGCUGUGGAGAUGCCUUUCCAUCUGGGACACCCCCUGACCUCUCCUUGUGCUAGGUGCUGCAGGCAGAAGUCCGCAUUGGCCCUGACUGCUGUUAAAGUCACUCAAAGAAGGCGCAGAAAUAUGUGGCUUAGAGAAAGGUACGGCGUCUGCUCAGGGACAUAUAGGAGAUUAAUGGUCAAGACAAGACUGGAGCCCAAGCCUCAGGACCUUUCAGGAUGCCAUCCCUACCCUGAACAGGGAUUGUAAUUCCCAUUUUAGGGAUGGGCCUCAUCUACAACCCUGGGGGUGUGGGUAGGGGACUGCACAGCUCCCCACGAUGAGGCUCUGGAAAGCGCUGUCUCCUCCUCCUUGCCCACCCAGCACCCUCCCUUUUACCCAAGUGAGGAGCAAAUGGAAGCAGGGAGGGAGAGAAGACAGGGAACUGCUGGGGAAAGCUUAGCGGGGCUCUCACAGAAACAUAUGGAACUCAUUACCCUAAAUCAAGGUGGUCGCUGGCCAGCUGGCAGUUGGUGGGUUUGGGACUAAAAAGUGUGUGUUGUGUGGCAGUGUGGCAAUGAGGGGACUCAGCUCUGCACCCUCCCCAGAAUAACCCUCCUACUCAGUGGUCAUGUUCUUGCUAAACUUUGUUUUGUUUCCAGGCUGUGCCAUUUAUGGCGCCCAAAAAGGGUCUCAGGACAUGCUAGGGUACUGAGCCUCUGUAAGGUAUUCAGGAAAGGGAUGAGGACGUGGGAUGGUCAGGAGAGAUACAUACAUUCUCCUUAACCUGUCCUCUUUCUCCCACAUCGGGGGAUCAGAGACCGGUGGGUCUUACAGUCUGUGCAGAUGUGUGAAGGGCUGAGCUAUGGUUUAUGAUCUAGGGUUCAUCCAGGUAAGCCCCAACGGGCCUUUGUGUUGGUCCACACCCUGAGAAUCACAUUGUCCAGUGCAGAUUCAACUUCUAUACAAGACAGGCAUUUUUGGAGGCCCUUUGCUAGUAUGCAGCUGUCUAUACAGUAACAGCUGAUUUCACCCCUGCGAGAUUCACAGAUAGUAGAUGACCUAAUGGGUCACCUUGGAGUAAGUGUCACAACACGAGGAGACAUCUACAUCCAGUGCCCUUACUGUACAGACAGGGGGUGAAGCUUAGUGAUAGCGUUUGUCUAACUUGUGCAAGGCCGGGAGUUUGAUUCCCCAGUACCAUCAAGGAAAAAGAAAAAAAAAUCUACUGAAGACUUCGUACAAACUUACACGUCCUACAGAACUACAGAACAGGCCUCUCCCAGCCGCAGCAAGUUCCCUGGUGCUUUCUCCGUGGGAGUCUGGGAAUCACUCUGGUUGGGAUCCCAGCUUUGUCAUUUAUCAGCUGUACCAUCACAGGAUGGCAGUGCUGUGGGCAGACUGCAAUCAUGGCAUUUCAGGACUGCCAGCCCGUGAGUGUCCUGCCUUAAGGAAGAACGGUUCAGAGAGGAAAUGCAGGCCUCUGACCCAGCACCUCCACUCCUAGGCUCUGCCACUUUGGACAAGCUCCUUUACCUCUCAGAGCCUCAAGCUCCUCCCUGUGACUCUGUGGGAGCCCCAAAACCUGUCCUCAGAAACUCGAUGGAGAAACCAAUGCAGGCAGCAGAGAACUGACUUGAACAAGGGCAAGUGGAAAGAAUCCUUCAUAUACCUGGAGAUAAAAAGUCAUAUUUUGGGGCUCAGGGUGUGCACAAGAACCUGGAUUCAAUCCCCAGCACCAAAAACAAAUAAGGGAAAACCCCCGAUCUUCAUACUGCCCAUCAGUGCCUAGCUAUUAUUUUUUCAUUAUUGGGAUCUGAAAGGAUUUUCAUGAAAAGUGUGAUCUCAGCUGGCGGAGAGACAGCGCAUCAGGCCCUGUGAGUCUGUCCAGGCCCAGCUUGACCAGAGCCUGCCCUCUGUGGAAGACAGCAGGAGUUGGGGGGAAUGGAAAUACAACCUAGUGAGCAAAAAAGGCCCAGAAGCUGGAGGUGACAGGGUCCUGGGUGAGAGCAGCAGCUCUGUGGUCAGACAGAUCCUGUCUGUGCCAUUGCUUAGCUGUGUGGAAAGCUACACACCACCACUGGGUGUGCGCGCCGUCUCUCUCACACACCCUGGGUGUAAGUUAUACAACCCAGCAGAGCCAGACUUCCUGGCAUGGGUGAGCUGCCCCUGCUCACAGCUGGUAGCCUUUGUCAUUUCGUCAGGAGGCAGUCACCUGCCUCUUUACCGUCACCUUUGUGUGUAAAACGUGUACACCUUUGACUGAACAAGCAGUGGACCAUACAGGUAGUGAAAUACCCACGUGUUCCCAAACUCUUCCACUUAACCACCAGUGUGAACUUGGACACAAGGCUUAAUUUCUUUUGUCUUUGGUCUCUACAUUGUAAAAUGGGGGCAAUAGUAAUCUGUCCCACAGACAGUGGUGGUGAGGAUUAGUUACCAUAUGGAACUCUUAGAUUAGUGCUUGGCACUGUACACCCCCUUGCACCCAUGCAAAAGCUAGUUUAUUCAUUUUCUCAGCCUGCCAAGAAACAUCUGUUCUCAUGCAUUCCAUAGCCAUCUGUAUCUUCAUAUAAAAUCACGAUGGCUUUUUAUUUUAUUUUAUUUUUAGUAAAAUUGCCAUAUCAGGAAAAGGUACCAGAUUUUUAUCACAUGGCUUUUUGAGACCUGGCAUGGAUCCAGCUUCACACACAGUCACACAUGAGCCUGCGUGAACACACAUGCCCUUGGACACAACACACUCUGAGAGGCCAUGCCACGCUGGGCUGCUUCCCAAAUGGGCUGAAACAAGUCCUCUUACGUGAAGCACUGCUUGCCAGUCUCUGACCCUUGGCCUGCUCCCUGGAGGGAGGCAGGAAGGGGGAAGCCUCCCCGCCUCCCAUGAUAGCAGUAGCCCUGUAUUCAUGGCAGAACAGCCCCAGGAGGAAGUCCUGGCCCCAGCUGCAAGCCUGAGAGGCUCAGCCUUGGUUGUGUCCCAUCCUUGCUGUGCAACCCCAGACACACAGCUUCACCUCUCUGAGACUCGGCUUCCUCAUUUCUCAGAGGGUCUCCCGACUUGUACCUUUCGGGGUUCUGAGGAUUAGAGGGGUGUAGAAAGUGCCUG